Molecule: ribosomal RNA, 599 nt
Filed under: Lactiplantibacillus plantarum
Lineage: Bacteria; Bacillati; Bacillota; Bacilli; Lactobacillales; Lactobacillaceae
Description: bacterial SSU rRNA
Rfam family: Bacterial small subunit ribosomal RNA
Source: RNAcentral
AUGGACGAAAGUCUGAUGGAGCAACGCCGCGUGAGUGAAGAAGGGUUUCGGCUCGUAAAACUCUGUUGUUAAAGAAGAACAUAUCUGAGAGUAACUGUUCAGGUAUUGACGGUAUUUAACCAGAAAGCCACGGCUAACUACGUGCCAGCAGCCGCGGUAAUACGUAGGUGGCAAGCGUUGUCCGGAUUUAUUGGGCGUAAAGCGAGCGCAGGCGGUUUUUUAAGUCUGAUGUGAAAGCCUUCGGCUUAACCGAAGAAGUGCAUCGGAAACUGGGAAACUUGAGUGCAGAAGAGGACAGUGGAACUCCAUGUGUAGCGGUGAAAUGCGUAGAUAUAUGGAAGAACACCAGUGGCGAAGGCGGCUGUCUGGUCUGUAACUGACGCUGAGGCUCGAAAGUAUGGGUAGCAAACAGGAUUAGAUACCCUGGUAGUCCAUACCGUAAACGAUGAAUGCUAAGUGUUGGAGGGUUUCCGCCCUACAGUGCUGCAGCUAACGCAUUAAGCAUUCCGCCUGGGGAGUACGGCCGCAAGGCUGAAACUCAAAGGAAUUGACGGGGGCCCGCACAAGCGGUGGAGCAUGUGGUUUAAUUCGAAGCUACG